GGCACUCAUACAGGAAAUGACAUCAACGGGUCAAAACUAAAAAUAUGUCGCAGGGCGGACGGUGAUCGUGGGACGCCCUGAAACUGCUCUGUACUGGAGGCUUCGAGACAGGUUUCUAUAGUUUUGGGAGGUGGAUGCUGAGGACCUGAGCUGAGUGAGCGCUUCUCAACCAUCACUUUCAUCCUCUGCAAGUUCAACGCAGACGACACACUUUCUCUGCGACGCCGUGGGCCAGUUGUCUCUUUGAAGUCGUGUAACCAGGGAGUUAACAAGUUAAUAUCGGAGGACAGUCUUUAAUGCAGGUCUUCGGGGCUGUGUUUAUGGACUGGUGAUUAGAGGGCAUAUAGACUAGAUGAUGGGCAAAAAGGGGCUCAAGAACGCAGUUCUUCCGUGUCCGUCUGCCAUGAGGCAGGCGUUCCAGUUUGGCUGCUGAAAGCUGGCCUCGCUGAACCGCGGGGUCAGCGCACCUCCAGCGCAACUCCAGCUUGUGCUUCAUCCUCUACCGCACCGGGGGCACCUGGCACCCCUCCCUACCAUGGCAGGCCAGAUCAAUGGUAAGAUCCAUUCGAGCAGAAUGACCGGAGGUCGGCAUCAAAGGCCCCCUGCUUGUCUCGCUGCCACCUGGAGCUCAGCGAGGGUCAUGGGCCGCCUGGGCCACCACUGCCUCCUCUUCCCUUCAGCUGGCUGGGUAUGCUGACUGGGACCCGGGCAGGGUAUGAGCUGGCUCUGCCCUGGCCCAGCAGCCCACAUGGGGAGAGGGCCAGAGGUCAAGCCCAUCAGAGCACUUUGCUUCAUCUGAUGAGAGGAUCUGGUCUGGUUUUAAUGAGGCAACACUGAUUCCACAUCUCUUUACGCAUGUGAGCAGACCUAAUGUGUGGAUUGUACUAGACGUAAUGUUGUGAUUUUUGCUUCCAGUCACUGGUUGCAGAGGAAGCGUCUUAGCUGUUUAUAGGUAUAUUUUAAUACCAAAAGUAAAAUCUUAAAAUCUUGUGUCAAAUGCAUGUUCCAUAUUCACAUUGAUUUCACUUUAAAGGGGUCUCUUAAGUUGUGUAAAAUGCAGUAAUUCAUCAAAUGAAAUGGAUAAUUCACUAAAAAAUUAAAAUUCUGUUAUUAUUAUUAUGAGUUUAUUUCUUCUGCUGAACACAAAAGAAGAUUUUUUUUUUGAUGUCAUAAAAGGCUAUGGCUUUUUGGAACAUUCUUUUGAACAACAUUCUUCAAAAUACCUUCAUUUUUUUUUUUUUUUUUUUCAGCCUAGGAAAGAAAGUCUUACAGUUUUGGAACCUGAUGGGAGAAUUGUCAUUUUUGGGUGAACUAUCCCUUUAAUUCAAAUGACUAUAAUUCUGUGAGGUUUUUUUUUUUAAAUGAUUAAUUUCAGCAGACAGUAGAUAGCCAAUUAUUGUAGAACAUAUAUUUAUUCAUACAACGUUUCCCAUAUGAACACUGUGGCUCCCUUCAGCAAAAUGUUGGUCAUAUGGUGAAAGAACAGGCAAUUAUUUUCAUGCAGCUGUCAAUACUCUGAACAGGCUAAUACAGUCUAAUUAAAUGUCAUUUCUUGGGCCACUAAUGAAAAUGAACAACUCAGAGGGGUUUUUAAUAUCGCUGUGAAGCGCUUCAACUGCCGGAGCCCUGCAGUCGACGACUUGAUCCUUCUAUGUCCCUUACUUGUUUGAUGAGGGAUGAAAGGGGACGCAAUGAGAGACACAGAGAGAAAGAGAGAGAAAAAGGCAAGUUUGGCAAGUGGAGGAGUGAAGGGGGAGACAGAUGGCGUGAAGUCUGCAUCUCUUUGGCGUUGGGCUCAUGGCGCUAAAAUCCUCCCUCUCACACAUUCCAACAAAUCCAACCAGGAGGCUCAGGAGUAUGUUCCACUGCUCUCGAAAUGAAGCAUCUGACCAGGAUAGAGCCACGCGCACACACACUUUCUCACUGUCUCUCUCCCUCUUUCACACACGCGCACACAUACAUUCACACACUGUCAGUCACCCGUAACCUAUCCAGAAGUUUACAUUUUUAUUAGUAUGUCACCCGUUCCGGAGUUUAUUGGCUUGUUAAAAUAGGAUGCUUUGGGAGUUGGGGAAGAGAGAACAUGGGGCCAUGACUGGAAAUAUUGCAGUGGAGAAAAGGAGACCAAGUGCCAUUCAAGUGUAAAAUCUCAUUGAGUAAACAUGGGGCCAAGGCAUGGAAACAGAGUGCGUACAAUCCAUUCGCGGCAGAAGAAAUGAGCUUUGCAGUUAGUCAUGCUAGCCACCACAUUAGCCUGUGCUCCUGAUAAGUUUCCUGCCAGUCAGGCCUGCCAGUUUGGACCGAAGUUGUACGUCUUUUUAAUUGGCGCCUCUGAAAUAAAAGUAUAUAAAGUUGAUCUGCUUGGCAUGUACAGUAAAAUCUAUGCGUCCCGUGUGAUCUCUGUCAACCGAGCUUCUGUUCUGUGCCUCAAUGUGGUUUUAUGAAGCAGCGAAGCUUUAUUUUAACCUAUCGCAAUAUUUUAUUUGUCAUUUAGCUGAAAUGUACCGCUAAUAGCUGUUGACAUAUAAAACGACCAUGUGUUCCUCCUGUCAGCCAGAUGCAAAAGGCACAGAUGGGCUUCUUUUUUUCCAAAUGGAGCUCUUGAUAGCAGACAAUUAAUGUGCCUUUGAUUGCGCUCUACAGUACUCUCCCAUUGAUUCUGGAAAAUGUAUUCAUUGAAGGCAUAUGAUCAGCCACGGAUGAAUCUUGUCAGAUGUGCCAAAUCACAAAUGAAACGCUUUAGUGCCUCUCCCUCCAACCUCCAGGGCUAAGAGCUCUUGCAUGACACUCACGCACACACACGCGCACACCACUCUUUUCCUCUCUCGCUGCUUCUCUAUCUCUCUCGCUCACGCUCUAGAUGGAUGGCUGAGUUCUGCCUUCUGUUUGCGCUGCCAUACUAAUGAAUGAGUCAGCUGGGAAUAUGUAAUACUGUGAAAAGGUCACCGGAGGCAUGUGUAUCACAUUACUGUUAAUGAUAAUAAAAAGA
This is a long non-coding RNA of Onychostoma macrolepis, 2989 nucleotides long. RefSeq lists it as uncharacterized. The record is from RefSeq and is a predicted model, not a curated record. The transcript has 4 exons. Lineage: Eukaryota; Metazoa; Chordata; Actinopteri; Cypriniformes; Cyprinidae.